GGAGAUAGCUGGUUCUCCCCGAAAGCUAUUUAGGUAGCGCCUCGUGAAUUCAUCUCCGGGGGUAGAGCACUGUUUCGGCUAGGGGGCCAUCCCGGCUUACCAACCCGAUGCAAACUGCGAAUACCGGAGAAUGUUAUCACGGGAGACACACGGCGGGUGCUAACGUCCGUCGUGAAGAGGGAAACAACCCAGACCGCCAGCUAAGGUCCCAAAGUCAUGGUUAAGUGGGAAACGAUGUGGGAAGGCCCAGACAGCCAGGAUGUUGGCUUAGAAGCAGCCAUCAUUUAAAGAAAGCGUAAUAGCUCACUGGUCGAGUCGGCCUGCGCGGAAGAUGUAACGGGGCUAAACCAUGCACCGAAGCUGCGGCAGCGACGCUUAUGCGUUGUUGG
Molecule: ribosomal RNA, 389 nt
Filed under: Salmonella enterica
Lineage: Bacteria; Pseudomonadati; Pseudomonadota; Gammaproteobacteria; Enterobacterales; Enterobacteriaceae
Description: partial 23S ribosomal RNA
Rfam family: Bacterial large subunit ribosomal RNA
Source: RNAcentral